AUUGGCGACCGGGUGAGUAACACGUGACUACCUGCCCUUGAGUGGGGGAUAACCCCGGGAAACCGGGGCUAAUACCGCAUAAUCGCAAGCAAAGGAGCGCUUUUGGAGGGGGUCGCGGCUGAUUAGCUAGUUGGUAGGGUAAUGGCCUACCAAGGCGAAGAUCGGUAUCCGGCCUGAGAGGGCGCACGGACACACUGGAACUGGAACACGGUCCAGACUCCUACGGGAGGCAGCAGUGGGGAAUUUUGCGCAAUGGGGGAAACCCUGACGCAGCAACGCCGCGUGGAGGAUGAAGCCCCUUGGGGCGUAAACUCCUUUCGACCGGGAAGAUUGACGGUACCGGUGGAAGAAGCACCGGCUAACUCUGUGCCAGCAGCCGCGGUAAUACAGAGGGUGCGAGCG
Molecule: ribosomal RNA, 402 nt
Filed under: uncultured soil bacterium
Lineage: Bacteria
Description: bacterial SSU rRNA
Rfam family: Bacterial small subunit ribosomal RNA
Source: RNAcentral